AGAGUUUGAUCCUGGCUCAGGAUGAACGCUGGCGGCGUGCUUAACACAUUCAAGUCGAACGGAGUUCAAUUGGAGCUUGCUCCCGGCUGAACUUAGUGGCGGACGGGUGAGUAAUGCAUGGGCAACCUGCCUUCACGGAGGGGGAUAACGAUCGGGAAACCGGUGCUAAUACCGCAUAGAGCAUUUUGCUAGGCAUCUGUCGAGAUGGGAAAGGAGCAAUCCGCCUGGAGAUGGG
This 235-nucleotide ribosomal RNA is filed under the name uncultured bacterium. Its description in RNAcentral is "partial 16S ribosomal RNA". It matches the Rfam family "Bacterial small subunit ribosomal RNA", at positions 8 to 229 of the family's 1533-position model. The record is from RNAcentral.